RNAcentral lists this small RNA (576 nucleotides) under Curvularia hawaiiensis. RNAcentral's name for it is "eukaryotic LSU rRNA". The stretch from base 151 to 304 matches the Rfam family "5.8S ribosomal RNA". Lineage: Eukaryota; Fungi; Ascomycota; Dothideomycetes; Pleosporales; Pleosporaceae. The record is from RNAcentral.
CGAAGGCCGUUCGCGGCUGGACUAUUUAUUACCCUUGUCUUUUGCGCACUUGUUGUUUCCUGGGCGGGUUCGCUCGCCACCAGGACCACAAUAUAAACCUUUUUUAUGCAGUUGCAAUCAGCGUCAGUAUAACAAAUGUAAAUCAUUUACAACUUUCAACAACGGAUCUCUUGGUUCUGGCAUCGAUGAAGAACGCAGCGAAAUGCGAUACGUAGUGUGAAUUGCAGAAUUCAGUGAAUCAUCGAAUCUUUGAACGCACAUUGCGCCCUUUGGUAUUCCAAAGGGCAUGCCUGUUCGAGCGUCAUUUGUACCCUCAAGCUUUGCUUGGUGUUGGGCGUUUUUGUCCCCCCCAAAAAGGGGACUCGCCUUAAAAGGAUUGGCAGCCGGCCUACUGGUUUCGCAGCGCAGCACAUUUUUGCGCUUGCAAUCAGCAAAAGAGGACGGCAAUCCAUCAAGACUCCUUCUCACGUUUGACCUCGGAUCAGGUAGGGAUACCCGCUGAACUUAAGCAUAUCAAUAAGCGGAGGAAAAGAAACCAACAGGGAUUGCCCUAGUAACGGCGAGUGAAGCGGCAAC